GUCCAAUGGCUUGACAUAAUGUGUUCUAUCCCAAUUUAUAUUGAUAUAUGUAACUUGUUCAUAUGGAUGUCAACCACUUCAUGAUCCAUACCUUCAUAAGAAAUAGAUCAUGUCAUUGCAUUCAAGAAAUUGCUUUCUGCAAACUUACCUACGUAGUGUUAUAUCAUGCAUUGUUAUUACCUUGUUCCACAACAUGGGUUGCUUGAGUGUACAUUCAAAGUACUCAUUAGCUUGCCACUUGUUAUUUAAUUAGCCACGCAUGGAAGAGUAGUAGUUCGACGAAGAGUUUGCUGGGGACGAACAUGCGAACUAGGACGCUUCCCAGUCAGAAUGCCUAUAGGGUUAAAGUAAAUGGCACUGGUUCACGCUUUCAUUCAGAAUUUCUGCUGCUAGUUAAGUUUGGUGUGUUGGCCUUCAAGGCCAUAUCUAUGUAAUACAUGACCUUCAUGGUUCUUAUUUGUAUCAAACGGUAUGAAUGGAUGUAAGACUCUUAU
RNAcentral lists this long non-coding RNA (494 nucleotides) under Hordeum vulgare. RNAcentral describes it as "long non-coding RNA (HVUL_LNC004126)". Lineage: Eukaryota; Viridiplantae; Streptophyta; Magnoliopsida; Poales; Poaceae. The record is from RNAcentral.